CAGUCGCCGCGGGAAUACAGAGGGUGCGAGCGUUAAUCGGAUUUACUGGGCGUAAAGCGUGUGUAGGUUGUUGUUCAAGUCAGUUGUGAAAUCCCUGGGCUCAACCUGGGAACUGCUUCUGAGACUGAACGACUAGAGUACGGUAGAGGGUGGUGGAAUUUCCGGUGUAGCGGUGAAAUGCGUAGAUAUCGGAAGGAACAUCAAUGGCGAAGGCAGCCACCUGGGCCUGUACUGACACUGAGACACGAAAGCGUGGGGAUCAAACAGGAUUAGAUACCCCUGUAGUCCCUGUCUCUUAUAC
RNAcentral lists this ribosomal RNA (301 nucleotides) under uncultured bacterium. Its description in RNAcentral is "partial 16S ribosomal RNA". It matches the Rfam family "Bacterial small subunit ribosomal RNA", at positions 509 to 807 of the family's 1533-position model. The record is from RNAcentral.